CUACGGGUCGCUCCAGUGGGGAAUAUUGCACACUGGAGGAAACUCUGAUGCAGCAACGCCGCGUGGAGGAUGACACUUUUCGGAGCGUAAACUCCUUUUAUAUAGGAAGAGGAUGACGGUACUAUAUGAAUAAGCGCCGGCUAACUCCGUGCCAGCAGCCGCGGUAAUACGGAGGGCGCAAGCGUUACUCGGAAUCACUGGGCGUAAAGAGCGUGUAGGCGGAUUAAAAAGUCAGAAGUGAAAUCCUAUAGCUUAACUAUAGAACUGCUUCUGAAACUCUUAAUCUAGAAUAUGGGAGAGGUAGAUGGAAUUUCUGGUGUAGGGGUAAAAUCCGUAGAGAUCAGAAGGAAUACCGAUUGCGAAGGCGAUCUACUAGAACAUUAUUGACGCUGAGACGCGAAAGCGUGGGGAGCAAACAGGAUUAGAUACCCGUGUAGUC
This 439-nucleotide ribosomal RNA is filed under the name uncultured bacterium. RNAcentral describes it as "partial 16S ribosomal RNA". It matches the Rfam family "Bacterial small subunit ribosomal RNA", at positions 339 to 795 of the family's 1533-position model. The record is from RNAcentral.